UAAUCAGAAUUCCCCUUCUUGUGGUGCUCUCUGUGAAUUCUUGAUCAGGUUAUCAUUUGAUGGGUUCAAGAGCUACAAAGAUGAAGUUUCUAUAGAUGCAUUCAGCCCUAAAGUACAUCAUGUUGGAAAUUUGAGGUUGACUUUCUUCUUCUUGCUGGUUAUUUGAAACUUACACCCAUUACACUGGUUCGGGCAUAUCCAAGAUCUAUAUUAGCAUUCAUCUCUUUUCUUCCUGCUUUUGCGGGCAAAGCAUAUUAUGGCUUAAAGGUGCACAAAGCUGUUACUGCAUCUUGGGUCUAGAUAUUCUGGCCCCACAGUUCACUUUAUAGAUGAGCGCUGUGUUUCUGGCCAUAUCCUUGCUUAGACGGUUGUGCCCGUGUUAUCUAAGUUGUACUGCAGAGCAGUUGGGUGCAAGAGUCCAUCGGGUACUCUACCUGUUUACUUGUAGUGUUCAAACACAAGUUUCUGGUUUAUGUGUUCAAAUGCAUUCCUGGAAACGAAUUGCAUUUUUCCCGUGACUCCACUUUUUGGAUGCGAUUUCCUAAUGUGGAUUUAGAGGGGAUGAAGUAAUUACUGAGACAAUGCUAGUGCUGUCAGGGAUUAUGUUUAAUGCAAAAUUCUAAAAUUCUUGCAUUUUAGGAGCAUCAAAUCUGCAUGGGGAUUGUUUCAACAUAAUGUGUGGAGCGAAUUGUUGGGAGAGGAUUGAUUCCCACUGUUUUGCAGCAAGGAGAACCCCGAUGCGUAUUACAAACCAAAGGGUUCUGAAUCAAUUUGUUUCCCUUCAGCCAUAAUCUUGAGUGGUCCGUACGGGGGCCUGGAUUUUUUUUCAAGGACAGAGGAGGCCGCAUGACGUGGACAUGGACAUGGCUCAGCUUCUGCUCCUGCCUGAGCGCGGCGUCCUCGCCUCCCCUUGCCACCACCUUGGUCGACGCUUGCCGCCAUCCAAUGCUUCCACGCUGCUGACAACCCCGAUCUCUUCGUCAAAUCCUCCGUCGCCCGCUUCGAUCGUUCCUCCGGGGCGUUCAGUUCAGCCCCGUCCCAGCUCUGCAUCCCGCUUUGCCUUCCUGUGCGGUCCCCACGUCCAGCAACACGUCAUCCAUGAGGCAUCAUCCAUGGUGCCCGGCUUCGGCUGGCCUUGUCACCGCUGGGUGGUGGUCUCCAGAGCUCAGGCACCCCACGAUAAGCUCCGAUGCGAUGCGCUGGAAGCGGAGUCUGCUGCCGAAAGGGAUGUUGUCCAACGGCUUCUUCGAUGGAAAAGAACGCCGCCGCCUUUCAGCAACCGAGACGUGGCAGGCCAGCUGGGACCAGCGCCGGUGGCUGAGUUGGCUCGACUCAAAUGGAGCCCAGGUCCGUGGUGGGCGAUGGAAAUAGGUAGACCAUCCUCCGUCGACUCGACUCAAAUGAUCAGAUUACAUGUCAUUGUUCAUUAGCCUUUCCACCAUCUUAAUUAGACUGUUUUGCUAUAUUCAUAAUCUUCAUACGGCAAGGACAUAUUUCCUGUAAAUUCAAUAAAAUUGUUUUGGAUAGCA
Molecule: non-coding RNA, 1529 nt
Organism: Elaeis guineensis (African oil palm)
Lineage: Eukaryota; Viridiplantae; Streptophyta; Magnoliopsida; Arecales; Arecaceae
Source: RefSeq, a predicted model, not a curated record